This 253-nucleotide ribosomal RNA is filed under the name uncultured bacterium. Its description in RNAcentral is "partial 16S ribosomal RNA". It matches the Rfam family "Bacterial small subunit ribosomal RNA", at positions 524 to 776 of the family's 1533-position model. The record is from RNAcentral.
UACGUAGGGGGCAAGCGUUGUCCGGAAUCAUUGGGCGUAAAGAGCGUGUAGGCGGCUUGGUAAGUCGGCUGUGAAAGUCGGGGGCUCAACCCUCGAAUGCCGGCCGAUACUGUCAAGCUAGAGUCCGGAAGAGGCGAGUGGAAUUCCUGGUGUAGCGGUGAAAUGCGCAGAUAUCGGGAGGAACACCCGUAGCGAAGGCGGCACUCUGGGCCGGAACUGACGCUGAGGAGCGAAAGCGUGGGGAGCAAACAGG